CAUGGCAAGUCGAACGGUGAACACGGAGCUUGCUCUGUGGGAUCAGUGGCGAACGGGKGAGUAACACGUGAGCAACCUGCCCCUGACUCUGGGAUAAGCGCUGGAAACGGCGUCUAAUACUGGAUAUGUGACGUGACCGCAUGGUCUGCGUCUGGAAAGAAUUUCGGUUGGGGAUGGGCUCGCGGCCUAUCAGCUUGUUGGUGAGGUAAUGGCUCACCAAGGCGUCGACGGGUAGCCGGCCUGAGAGGGUGACCGGCCACACUGGGACUGAGACACGGCCCAGACUCCUACGGGAGGCAGCAGUGGGGAAUAUUGCACAAUGGGCGCAAGCCUGAUGCAGCAACGCCGCGUGAGGGACGACGGCCUUCGGGUUGUAAACCUCUUUUAGCAGGGAAGAAGCGAAAGUGACGGUACCUGCAGAAAAAGCGCCGGCUAACUACGUGCCAGCAGCCGCGGUAAUACGUAGGGCGCARGSGUKAUCCGGAAUUAUUGGGCGUAAAGAGCUCGUAGGCGGUUUGUCGCGUCUGCUGUGAAAUCCGGAGGCUCAACCUCCGGCCUGCAGUGGGUACGGGCAGACUAGAGUGCGGUAGGGGAGAUUGGAAUUCCUGGUGUAGCGGUGGAAUGCGCAGAUAUCAGGAGGAACACCGAUGGCGAAGGCAGAUCUCUGGGCCGUAACUGACGCUGAGGAGCGAAAGGGUGGGGAGCAAACAGGCUUAGAUACCCCUGGUASUCCACCCCCGUAAACGUUGGGAACUAGUUGUGGGGUCCAUUCCACGGAUUCCGUGACGCAGCUAACGCAUUAAGUUCCCCCGCCUGGGGGAGUACGGCCGCAAGGCCUAAAACUCAAASGAAUUGACGGGGGACCCGCMACAAGCGGCGGAAGCAUGCGGAUUAAUUCCGAUGCACSGCGAAGAAACCUUACCAAGGCUUGGACAUAUACGAGAACGGGSCCAGAAAAUGGGKCCAACUCUUUGGGAMCACUCCSUAAAACRAGGYKGGCYGCCAUGGGUUGGU
Molecule: ribosomal RNA, 1014 nt
Filed under: Microbacterium oxydans
Lineage: Bacteria; Bacillati; Actinomycetota; Actinomycetes; Micrococcales; Microbacteriaceae
Description: bacterial SSU rRNA
Source: RNAcentral